This 392-nucleotide ribosomal RNA is filed under the name uncultured bacterium. RNAcentral's name for it is "bacterial SSU rRNA". It matches the Rfam family "Bacterial small subunit ribosomal RNA", at positions 945 to 1335 of the family's 1533-position model. The record is from RNAcentral.
UUUAAUUCGAUGCAAACGCGAAGAACCUUACCUGGUCUUGACAUCCACAGAACUUUCCAGAGAUGGAUUGGUGCCUUCGGGAACUGUGAGACAGGUGCUGCAUGGCUGUCGUCAGCUUCGUGUUGUGAAAUGUUGGGUUAAGUCCCGCAACGAGCGCAACCCUUAUCCUUUGUUGCCAGCGGUCCGGCCGGGAACUCAAAGGAGACUGCCAGUGAUAAACUGGAGGAAGGUGGGGAUGACGUCAAGUCAUCAUGGCCCUUACGACCAGGGCUACACACGUGCUACAAUGGCGCAUACAAAGAGAAGCGACCUCGCGAGAGCAAGCGGACCUCAUAAAGUGCGUCGUAGUCCGGAUUGGAGUCUGCAACUCGACUCCAUGAAGUCGGAAUCGC